AUUGAACGCUGGCGGCAGGCCUAACACAUGCAAGUCGAGCGGAUGAAGGGAGCUUGCUCCUGGAUUCAGCGGCGGACGGGUGAGUAAUGCCUAGGAAUCUGCCUGGUAGUGGGGGAUAACGUCCGGAAACGGGCGCUAAUACCGCAUACGUCCUGAGGGAGAAAGUGGGGGGUCUUCGGACCUCACGCUAUCAGAUGAGCCUAGGUCGGAUUAGCUAGUUGGUGGGGUAAAGGCCUACCAAGGCGACGAUCCGUAACUGGUCUGAGAGGAUGAUCAGUCACACUGGAACUGAGACACGGUCCAGACUCCUACGGGAGGCAGCAGUGGGGAAUAUUGGACAAUGGGCGAAAGCCUGAUCCAGCCAUGCCGCGUGUGUGAAGAAGGUCUUCGGAUUGUAAAGCACCUUAAGUUGGGAGGAAGGGCAGUAAGUUAAUACCUUGCUGUUUUGACGUUACCAACAGAAUAAGCACCGGCUAACUUCGUG
Molecule: ribosomal RNA, 484 nt
Filed under: uncultured bacterium
Lineage: Bacteria
Description: partial 16S ribosomal RNA
Rfam family: Bacterial small subunit ribosomal RNA
Source: RNAcentral